RNAcentral lists this ribosomal RNA (586 nucleotides) under uncultured bacterium. RNAcentral's name for it is "partial 16S ribosomal RNA". It matches the Rfam family "Bacterial small subunit ribosomal RNA", at positions 355 to 1375 of the family's 1533-position model. The record is from RNAcentral.
UGGGGAAUUUUGGACAAUGGGCGAAAGCCUGAUCCAGCAAUGCCGCGUGUGUGAAGAAGGCCUUCGGGUUGUAAAGCACUUUUGUCCGGAAAGAAAUCCUUGGCUCUAAUACAGUCGGGGGAUGACGGUACCGGAAGAAUAAGCACCGGCUAACUACGUGCCAGCAGCCGCGGUAAUACGUAGGGUGCAAGCGUUAAUCGGAAUUACUGGGCGUAAAGCGUGCGCAGGCGGUUUGCUAAGACCGAUGUGAAAUCCCCGGGCUUAACCUGGGAACUGCAUUCGUGACUGCAAGGCUAGAGUAUGGCAGAGGGGGGUAGAAUUCCACGUGUAGCAGUGAAAUGCGUAGAGAUGUGGAGGAAUACCGAUGGCGAAGGCAGCCCCCUGGGCCAAAUACUGACGCUCAUGCACGAAAGCGUGGGGAGCAAACAGGAUUAGAUACCCUGGUAGUCCACGCCCUAAACGAUGUCAACUAGUUGUUGGGGAUUCAUUUCCUUAGUAACGUAGCUAACGCGUGAAGUUGACCGCCUGGGGAGUACGGUCGCAAGAUUAAAACUCAAAUGAAUUGACGGGGUCAUAGCUGUUUCCU